AAAAAAAUUCAAAACCCCUCCCCUUUUAUCUCAAGAUCCGGCUCUCAGUCCCCUCGGCCUCCGUCGCCCCGCCUUUCUGCUCGCCGCACCGCCACCGUAUUCGACGACCGACGAAGCGCAAGAACGGGCGUUCGAAGCCUUGCCCCGGUGAGUUUCCCCUUUCCUUCUUUUUUUUUAUUUACCAUAUAUAAAAAGAAUUAAAAAUAGAAUAAAAAAUAGGGAUACACUAUCAAAAUAUGGAUCUUGUUCCAAAAUCAAACAAUCACCUUGAGAUUGUUGUGUUUCUUUUUAUUCUUUGUGUCUUUUUGAUUUUCUGAAAUGUUCAAAAGAAAAGAAAAAAAAAACCCUUACAAUCGGUUUUAGAUUGCUUUUAUAGUCAUUUACAACACUUUUUUUUAUCUAUUUUUCUAAUGUUUCUCUUGCGUGCAUGUUCUUCUUUGUAGGGAGUGGUUGGCGCGACAGGGAGGAGCGGUGGUGGUAGCUGAGGCUAGGGAUAGGGUGAGGUGGCUUCUGAAACCCUAGUUUGACUAUUGGGUCAGUGGGUUUUGGGUUGUAAUGGGCUAGUAUUUUGGGUUUAAGUUUGGGUUUCAAUUGGGCUAGGGUGUUUUGGGUUAAAUUUCUUGGACUGUUAAUUUUUUAAUUUGUUUGGGUUUUAUUUGUCUGGGCCCGGGUAAAAAUGGGCUUGUACAUUCUUAAUACUAGUUUUUUUUAUAUGAGUAAAUAGAUAAUUACUUGAACCAAUUUAAUAAAAAUUAA
RNAcentral lists this long non-coding RNA (756 nucleotides) under Gossypium barbadense (sea-island cotton). RNAcentral describes it as "long non-coding RNA (GBAR_LNC022176)". The record is from RNAcentral. Lineage: Eukaryota; Viridiplantae; Streptophyta; Magnoliopsida; Malvales; Malvaceae.